ACAGAUCGUUCAGAGUUUGAUCCUGGCUCAGGAUGAACGCUAGCGGCAGGCUUAAUACAUGCAAGUCGAGGGGCAGCAGCUUUAUAGCAAUAUAGAGGCUGGCGACCGGCAAACGGGUGCGGAACACGUACACAACCUUCCUUGAAUAGGGGGAUAGCCCAUAGAAAUGUGGAUUAAUACCCCGUAAUAUAGCGGUGUGGCAUCACACUGUUAUUAUAGUUUCGACGAUUCGAGAUGGGUGUGCGACUGAUUAGGUAGUUGGCGGGGUAAAGGCCCACCAAGCCUUCGAUCAGUAGCUGAUGUGAGAGCAUGAUCAGCCACACGGGCACUGAGACACGGGCCCG
Molecule: ribosomal RNA, 344 nt
Filed under: uncultured bacterium
Lineage: Bacteria
Description: bacterial SSU rRNA
Rfam family: Bacterial small subunit ribosomal RNA
Source: RNAcentral